This 106-nucleotide small nuclear RNA is filed under the name Catagonus wagneri (Chacoan peccary). Lineage: Eukaryota; Metazoa; Chordata; Mammalia; Artiodactyla; Tayassuidae. The record is from RNAcentral.
AUGCUCUUUUCAGCAGCACAUAUACUAGAAUUGGAAUAUACAGAGAAGAUAAGCAUGGUCUCUGUGCAAGAAUGACAUGCAAAUUUGUGAAGUGUUGCAUAUUUUU